CACCCUCAGGAGGUGACCCAAGUGUCGAUUGACCUCCCUUGAAAGUCCGGUGACCUAACUUGAAGAGAGUGGCCUCAACGCGCUACUUCUUUGUUUCUGUUCCUGUUCCUGUUCCAUGUGCCGGCGCGUGUUUGUGUGUGGUGUUUUCCGGCACAGUGAGAUAAUGAGUCUUAUUAAUCACUGUAUGUUAAAGAAUUGAUGGAGUAUUUAG
This 211-nucleotide unclassified non-coding RNA is filed under the name Hevea brasiliensis (rubber tree). Lineage: Eukaryota; Viridiplantae; Streptophyta; Magnoliopsida; Malpighiales; Euphorbiaceae. The record is from RNAcentral.